UAGGGAAUAUUUCUUAAUGGGCGAAAGCCUGAAGCAGCAACGCCGCGUGGACGAAGAGGGCCUUCGGGUUGUAAAGUUCUUUUAUAUGGGAUGAGGAAGGACAGUACCAUAUGAAUAAGUCUCGGCUAACUACGUGCCAGCAGCCGCGGUAACACGUAGGAGGCAAACGUUAUCCGGAUUUACUGGGCGUAAAGAGCGUGUAGGAGGCAAUACAAGUUGGAUGUAAAAGCUCUCGGCUAAACUGAGAGAGGACGUUCAAGACUGUAGAGCUAGAGGAAGGCAGAGGUAGAUGGAACUCCGGGAGUAGUGGUGAAAUGCGUAGAUAUCCGGAAGAACACCAGAGGCGAAAGCGAUCUACUGGACCUUAACUGACACUGAGACGCGAAAGCCAGGGUAGCAAACG
This 403-nucleotide ribosomal RNA is filed under the name uncultured prokaryote. RNAcentral describes it as "bacterial SSU rRNA". It matches the Rfam family "Bacterial small subunit ribosomal RNA", at positions 355 to 774 of the family's 1533-position model. The record is from RNAcentral.